This 305-nucleotide unclassified non-coding RNA is filed under the name uncultured fungus. RNAcentral describes it as "partial contains small subunit ribosomal RNA, internal transcribed spacer 1, and 5.8S ribosomal RNA". The stretch from base 1 to 73 matches the Rfam family "Eukaryotic small subunit ribosomal RNA", at positions 1759 to 1831 of the family's 1831-position model. Lineage: Eukaryota; Fungi. The record is from RNAcentral.
ACAAACUUGGUCAUUUAGAGGAAGUAAAAGUCGUAACAAGGUCUCCGUUGGUGAACCAGCGGAGGGAUCAUUAGAGAGUAUAACAACUCCCAACCCAUGUGAACAUACCUCGCGUUGCCUCGGCGGAGAGAGGACCUACCCAUCAAGGGCUACCCGGGCGUAAAAACCCGGGAGGUCCGGGUAACCUCCCGCCGCCGCUGGCCCACGAAACUCUGUUUUUAUCUUGCAACUCUGAAUCUAAAAGCAAAUAAGUUAAAACUUUCAACAACGGAUCUCUUGGUUCUGGCAUCGAUGAAGAACGCAGC